GUUAGCUAGCGUGUGGGUGACUCGAAAGAGAGGAAACUCCUCCCUCAUAACAGGCACUCAAAUUAGCGAUAAUUAGGUGGAGACGCCUGGCUACGGAACAGAAAGGAUAUCCAGUUGAUCAAAAUGAUGAUGAUGGUGAAUAGCCUGAAGAUGUCAAUACUGGAAUGAAACCGCCGACCUGAGUGGAGCAAGGACAAAAAGGGGUUAACAUUCCUGUAUGAACCCAGGUUGACCGCUCAGUGGAAUCCCACUUAAAACAAAAGGAGGGUUACUGCUAGCAAAC
RNAcentral lists this RNase P RNA (283 nucleotides) under Thermoproteota archaeon. RNAcentral's name for it is "RNase P RNA component". It matches the Rfam family "Archaeal RNase P". Rfam says of the family: Ribonuclease P (RNase P) is a ubiquitous endoribonuclease, found in archaea, bacteria and eukarya as well as chloroplasts and mitochondria. Its best characterised activity is the generation of mature 5'-ends of tRNAs by cleaving the 5'-leader elements of precursor-tRNAs. The record is from RNAcentral. Lineage: Archaea; Thermoproteati; Thermoproteota.